GAUGAACGCUGGCGGCGUGCCUAAUACAUGCAAGUCGAGCGAACAGACGAGGAGCUUGCUCCUCUGACGUUAGCGGCGGACGGGUGAGUAACACGUGGAUAACCUACCUAUAAGACUGGGAUAACUUCGGGAAACCGGAGCUAAUACCGGAUAAUAUAUUGAACCGCAUGGUUCAAUAGUGAAAGACGGUUUUGCUGUCACUUAUAGAUGGAUCCGCGCCGCAUUAGCUAGUUGGUAAGGUAACGGCUUACCUAGGCAACGAUGCGUAGCCGACCUGAGAGGGUGAUCGGCCACACUGGAACUGAGACACGGUCCAGACUCCUACGGGAGGCAGCAGUAGGGAAUCUUCCGCAAUGGGCGAAAGCCUGACGGAGCAACGCCGCGUGAGUGAUGAAGGUCUUCGGAUCGUAAAACUCUGUUAUUAGGGAAGAACAAAUGUGUAAGUAACUAUGCACGUCUUGACGGUACCUAACCAGAAAGCCACGGCUAACUACGUG
This 497-nucleotide ribosomal RNA is filed under the name uncultured bacterium. RNAcentral's name for it is "partial 16S ribosomal RNA". It matches the Rfam family "Bacterial small subunit ribosomal RNA", at positions 28 to 507 of the family's 1533-position model. The record is from RNAcentral.